This 265-nucleotide ribosomal RNA is filed under the name Streptococcus agalactiae. RNAcentral describes it as "partial 16S ribosomal RNA". It matches the Rfam family "Bacterial small subunit ribosomal RNA", at positions 1 to 256 of the family's 1533-position model. Lineage: Bacteria; Bacillati; Bacillota; Bacilli; Lactobacillales; Streptococcaceae. The record is from RNAcentral.
UUUAAUGAGAGUUUGAUCCUGGCUCAGGACGAACGCUGGCGGCGUGCCUAAUACAUGCAAGUAGAACGCUGAGGUUUGGUGUUUACACUAGACUGAUGAGUUGCGAACGGGUGAGUAACGCGUAGGUAACCUGCCUCAUAGCGGGGGAUAACUAUUGGAAACGAUAGCUAAUACCGCAUAAGAGUAAUUAACACAUGUUAGUUAUUUAAAAGGAGCAAUUGCUUCACUGUGAGAUGGACCUGCGUUGUAUUAGCUAGUUGGUGAG